This 252-nucleotide ribosomal RNA is filed under the name uncultured bacterium. RNAcentral describes it as "partial 16S ribosomal RNA". It matches the Rfam family "Bacterial small subunit ribosomal RNA", at positions 30 to 280 of the family's 1533-position model. The record is from RNAcentral.
AUUGAACGCUGGCGGCAUGCCUUACACAUGCAAGUCGAACGGCAGCACGGGAGCAAUCCUGGUGGCGAGUGGCGAACGGGUGAGUAAUAUAUCGGAACGUGCCCAGUCGUGGGGGAUAACGUAGCGAAAGCUACGCUAAUACCGCAUACGAUCUACGGAUGAAAGCGGGGGAUCGCAAGACCUCGCGCGAUUGGAGCGGCCGAUAUCAGAUUAGGUAGUUGGUGAGGUAAAGGGCUCUACCAAGCCGACGAU